Molecule: ribosomal RNA, 427 nt
Filed under: Salmonella enterica subsp. enterica
Lineage: Bacteria; Pseudomonadati; Pseudomonadota; Gammaproteobacteria; Enterobacterales; Enterobacteriaceae
Description: partial 23S ribosomal RNA
Rfam family: Bacterial large subunit ribosomal RNA
Source: RNAcentral
UGUUUCGGCUAGGGGGCCAUCCCGGCUUACCAACCCGAUGCAAACUGCGAAUACCGGAGAAUGUUAUCACGGGAGACACACGGCGGGUGCUAACGUCCGUCGUGAAGAGGGAAACAACCCAGACCGCCAGCUAAGGUCCCAAAGUCAUGGUUAAGUGGGAAACGAUGUGGGAAGGCCCAGACAGCCAGGAUGUUGGCUUAGAAGCAGCCAUCAUUUAAAGAAAGCGUAAUAGCUCACUGGUCGAGUCGGCCUGCGCGGAAGAUGUAACGGGGCUAAACCAUGCACCGAAGCUGCGGCAGCGAACGUAUCACCCAAGACAACUUUACGGAGUUGACGAUUGACGGAGCGAAGCGACGUCAAAGCGUUCAUUAAAGUCGAGUUGGCUUAGGGAUACGUUCGUUGGGUAGGGGAGCGUUCUGUAAGCCUG